CCCAGCACAUGUACCCCUGAACCUAAAAUAAAAGUCAAAAUUAUAAAAUAAAAUAAAACAAAUAUUUGGUUUAAAACUACAACAAAAAAUUAUCUAGGGUUUAAACAAGACUGCCUUUUUUAAAAAGGGACUUAAGUUGCAAAGCAGGCUGUUGCUUUUUAUUUUAAGUCUGCACUAUUAGCUUUUUAACUGUGUGCAUAUAUUAAUUAUAUGGAAAAUAUAAUAUAGUUUAAGUAAUAACUACAUGUUCAACUCCACUUGCAGCUUAAAAAUACGAACAGUCAUUUGAAAUUUAAUUACUUAUUAUGUAAGGAGUCUGAAUGCAAAUUUUAUGC
This 335-nucleotide long non-coding RNA is filed under the name Pan troglodytes (chimpanzee). RNAcentral's name for it is "long non-coding RNA NONPTRT000592". The record is from RNAcentral. Lineage: Eukaryota; Metazoa; Chordata; Mammalia; Primates; Hominidae.